GUCCUUCUUCAUAUAGGUCAUCCUCUAUGCAGUAGCUCAGUCCACGUUCUCCUGGUCUGUGCUCAGUAAUGUUAACUCUUGGAGGCACUAGUUGCUGCUGUCGUCAUUGUCAUUGUCAUCACAUCUGCAUCAUCCCCAUCAUCAUCAUCACCAAUGUCAUCACCACCAUGGUCACCACCAUCAUCACCAUCUUCACCAUCAUCAUCAUCACACUCACCAUCAUCACAUCAUCAUUAUCACAGUCACCUUCAUCACCAUCACCACCAUGGUCACCAUCAUCACCAUCAUCAUCAUCAUCAUCAUCACACUCACCGUCAUCACCAUCCUCAUCACCAGCAUCACCGUCAUCACCAUCACCACCAUCACCACCAUGGUCACCAUCAUCACCAUCAUCAUCACCACCAUCACCACCAUGGUCACCAUCAUCACCAUCAUCACGAUUAUCAUCACCAUCUUCACCGUCAUCACAUAAUCAUUAUCACAGACACCAUCAUCACCAUCACCACCAUGGUCACCAUGGUCACCAGCAUCACCAUCCUCAUCACCAGCAUCACUGUCAUCACCGUUACCACCAUGAUCACUAUCAUUACCAUCAUCAUCAUCACAUUCACCAUCACCAUAAUCAUCAUCAUCACCAUCACCACCAUCACCACCAUGGUCACCAUCAUCACCAUCAUCACGAUUAUCAUCACCAUCUUCACCGUCAUCACAUAAUCAUUAUCACAGACACCAUCAUCACCAUCACCACCAUGGUCACCAUGGUCACCAGCAUCACCAUCCUCAUCACCAGCAUCACUGUCAUCACCGUUACCACCAUGAUCACUAUCAUUACCAUCAUCAUCAUCACAUUCACCAUCACCAUAAUCAUCAUCAUCACCAUCACCACCAUCACCACCAUGGUCACCAUCAUCACCAUCAUCACCAUCCUCGUCACCAGCAUCACUGUCAUCACCGUUACCACCAGGGUCACCAUCAUCACCAUCAUCACCAGCAUAACUGUCAUCACUGUCACCACCAUCACCACCGUGGUCACCAGCAUCACCGUCAUCACCAUCCUCAUCACCGUCAUCCACACACAUCACCUGCACACUCCUGUCUUGUCAUAUCCAC
This 1110-nucleotide long non-coding RNA is filed under the name Vulpes vulpes (red fox). RNAcentral's name for it is "lncRNA (ENSVVUG00000029529.1)". The record is from RNAcentral. Lineage: Eukaryota; Metazoa; Chordata; Mammalia; Carnivora; Canidae.